RNAcentral lists this ribosomal RNA (372 nucleotides) under uncultured Streptococcus sp. Its description in RNAcentral is "bacterial SSU rRNA". It matches the Rfam family "Bacterial small subunit ribosomal RNA", at positions 1009 to 1382 of the family's 1533-position model. The record is from RNAcentral. Lineage: Bacteria; Bacillati; Bacillota; Bacilli; Lactobacillales; Streptococcaceae.
UAGAAGUUACUUCGGUACAUCGGUGACAGGUGGUGCAUGGUUGUCGUCAGCUCGUGUCGUGAGAUGUUGGGUUAAGUCCCGCAACGAGCGCAACCCCUAUUGUUAGUUGCCAUCAUUCAGUUUGGGCACUCUAGCGAGACUGCCGGUAAUAAACCGGAGGAAGUGGGGAUGACGUCAAAUCAUCAUGCCCCUUAUGACCUGGGCUACACACGUGCUACAAUGGUUGGUACAACGAGUUGCGAGUCGGUGACGGCGAGCUAAUCUCUUAAAGCCAAUCUCAGUUCGGAUUGUAGGCUGCAACUCGCCUACAUGAAGUCGGAAUCGCUAGUAAUCGCGGAUCAGCACGCCGCGGUGAAUACGUUCCCGGGCCUU